AUGAAAACCUUCAACUUCCUCUUCUUCCACGCCAUUUUUCUACCUCCAACAACAUUGCCUUUAGGUCUGUUUUCUCUCUCUCUCAACCUGCUAGAUUGUUUCUUUUCACUACCCUUUUUAAUGGGUUGCGUUUUGUUUCUUAUUUCAACCUGUUCCUAUAACUGUGUUUUCCGUUUUCUCUUGCACACAUACUGUUUGUUGUUUGUUCCGUUUUUUGUUACCCAUUUUUUUAGACCACUUUUUGGGUCUCCUCUGUAUGUGCACAAGGAUUUCUAA
Non-coding RNA from Vicia faba (fava bean), 276 nucleotides. NCBI's taxonomy places the organism in Eukaryota, Viridiplantae, Streptophyta, Magnoliopsida, Fabales, Fabaceae. The record is from the annotation of a GenBank genome assembly.